This 570-nucleotide long non-coding RNA is filed under the name Anas platyrhynchos platyrhynchos (common mallard). RNAcentral describes it as "lncRNA (ENSAPLG00000026426.1)". Lineage: Eukaryota; Metazoa; Chordata; Aves; Anseriformes; Anatidae. The record is from RNAcentral.
GUGAAACACCUUCCUGCUGAAGGCACCCACCAGCAGAGCAGCAAGGCUUCUUCCUAGCUUUGUUGUCCGAGAUGAAGAUGAGCAGGACACAGCAUCCAUGGCACUCCCCCUCGUAAAUAAGGCCUCAACACUGUCAAAAGUUUUGUCUCAGAUUUGUAGUUAUAUCUCAGUCUUCACAGGCUUUCUUGCAUUUGGAUCACUGCAAUGCUUUUGUACCUAAAAUAAUAGCUUGUUAAGACAGUAUUACAGUCAUAUAACUUGUUGGGAAAAGCACACCAUGGCUCAAAAUCUGAAUUAAACAUGUGUCAUUGUGGUGAAGGAAGAAAUCUUCCACCUUCCAGAAACCUGAUAUUUUGGACCAGAUCCCUCUCUGAACAGGUUGUAUGCUGCCCUUUUCAAAAUCAAGCUAUCAGAAGAUGCCCUUCAGCAGAAGUGUUAAGAGGACUUGCAAGGAGGAACUUGGUUUUGGACUUGUGUAAUGACAAUGCCCUUGUAAUUGAAAGAAAAAAGAAAAAGGAAAUCUGGGAGACGAUUAGUCUACAUGUGGUAUACUUCUUUUUCCUAAGUUGA